UACGGAGGGUGCAAGCGUUACCCGGAUUCACUGGGUUUAAAGGGUGCGUAGGUGGUCGGGUAAGUCUGAUGUGAAAUCUCCAAGCUCAACUUGGAAAUGGCAUUGGAUACUAUUCGGCUAGAGGGUUUGAGGGGGGACUGGAAUACUUGGUGUAGCAGUGAAAUGCGUAGAUAUCAAGUGGAACACCAGUGGCGAAGGCGAGUCCCUGGAAAACUCCUGACACUGAGGCACGAAAGCUAGGGGAGCAAACAGG
RNAcentral lists this ribosomal RNA (253 nucleotides) under uncultured bacterium. RNAcentral's name for it is "partial 16S ribosomal RNA". It matches the Rfam family "Bacterial small subunit ribosomal RNA", at positions 524 to 776 of the family's 1533-position model. The record is from RNAcentral.